UAUAGAAUUGAUACCAAAAACAUGGCAGCAAUAUAUUGUCUACAUAAUUGAUACUAAAAACAUGGCAGCAAUAUGUAGUUAACAUUUAUAUGUUAAAAUAAUUACAAUAUAACAAGAAAAAAAUAUAUUAGCCUAAGUAUUGAUACUUAAAAACAUGGCAGCAAUAUAUAGUUAGCAUUUAUAUGCUAAAACAAUUACAAUCUAACAAAGAAAUGUGACAAUAUGUCGGCAUUUAUUACAUGAGAACGAAGAAACAACAAACCUUGAGCAGCUAAGCUAGACAGUAAGCGAUACAGCAAAUUACGAGAGAAAGCGAGACUGAAAGGAUGAGAGUGAGGUAAGAACUAAUAUACAUUACUAAACAUAUUCGAUCAAAACAUUUUAUAAAGAUAAAGUCAUACCUGGUAGUGAGAGUGAGGUAGUGAGAGUGAGGUACAUGAAAAUGGAAGUCUGCAAAAAUUAAAAACGAUAUAUCAAUCGUCGUUGUACAACAAUGUAAUUUGAAAAAACAACAUUCAAAAAAUAAAUAUAAUAGUGUCAAGAAAAUAGAACCAACCUGACACAAACGAAACUCGUCUGCAAAAUAAAAACAAGUAUCAACAAGCCAUUACAGUAAUGGAAUCCAAAGUAAUGUACUCAAGAAAUUAUUAAAAAUAGUACAUAUAAACAAUUCAAACAUUACCAAUAACAUAUUUUAAAACAGAUCAGCAAAAAAGUUGCAAUUCCAUGCACCAUUUACACUCGUCGGACAUUCACACUAGCCGGACUGUUACAGACUUACGACAGUGCAUCUUGAACAGCCACCUUUGGCCGGGAAGAAUUAUACAGUAUUUCGUAGCAUUAUAUACUGCUUCGCUAUGAACCAUUACCAUGCAUUAACUACCGUCACCAUCACUCACAACAAUGGAGCUAGGUCGGUCACUUUCUUUCAAUCUCAUGAAGGUGGCAAGUUACACCCAAACAACCAAAACUACGGUCGAUCACUAAAUUAAUUAACAAAUGCAAGCUAAGGAAACCACGCCAUGAUAAUGACAUGACUAAAAAAGAUGGCACAACAACUAACUAACUAACACAUCAGAAUCUGAUCAGUAUGGAUACUCAAAUGAAUAGUACAAAGACCAUGCAGCAUCUCUUUUGAGAUCAGAGAAGAGGACCUUUACAUGCUGCACAUUUUUGUAAGCACUAUUUGAUAAUUGCAUUAUGCUUUUGAGUUUGGCAGUACUCAUGAAAUUAAUCAAUUAUCUACCCUCAAGAUCAACACUCACUGUCAUUAAU
This 1275-nucleotide long non-coding RNA is filed under the name Aquilegia coerulea. RNAcentral's name for it is "long non-coding RNA (ACOE_LNC000277)". Lineage: Eukaryota; Viridiplantae; Streptophyta; Magnoliopsida; Ranunculales; Ranunculaceae. The record is from RNAcentral.